GAUAAACGCUGGCGGCGCACAUAAGACAUGCAAGUCGAACGGACUUAACCAUUAGUUUACUAUUGGAGCGGUUAGUGGCGGACUGGUGAGUAACACGUAAGCAACCUGCCUAUCAGAGGGGAACAACAGUUAGAAAUGACUGCUAAUACCGCAUAUGCCUAAGUACCACAUGGUACAAUAGGGAAAGAAGCAAUUCGCUGAUAGAUGGGCUUGCGUCUGAUUAGCUAGUUGGUGGGGUAACGGCCUACCAAGGCGACGAUCAGUAGCCGACCUGAGAGGGUGACGGGCCACAUUGGGACUGAGACACGGCCCAA
This 314-nucleotide ribosomal RNA is filed under the name uncultured bacterium. Its description in RNAcentral is "bacterial SSU rRNA". It matches the Rfam family "Bacterial small subunit ribosomal RNA", at positions 28 to 334 of the family's 1533-position model. The record is from RNAcentral.